RNAcentral lists this ribosomal RNA (545 nucleotides) under uncultured Glomus. RNAcentral's name for it is "SSU rRNA". It matches the Rfam family "Eukaryotic small subunit ribosomal RNA", at positions 548 to 1098 of the family's 1831-position model. Lineage: Eukaryota; Fungi; Glomeromycota; Glomeromycetes; Glomerales; Glomeraceae. The record is from RNAcentral.
UUGGAGGGCAAGUCUGGUGCCAGCAGCCGCGGUAAUUCCAGCUCCAAUAGCGUAUAUUAAAGUUGUUGCAGUUAAAAAGCUCGUAGUUGAAUUUCGAGACCGGUCUACUGGUCGUGCUUUUGUACGUACUGGUUUUAUUGGUUUCUCCUUUCUGACGAACUAUAAUGCCAUUAAUUUGGUGUUAUGGGGAAUCAGGACUGUUACUUUGAAAAAAUUAGAGUGUUUAAAGCAGGCUCACGCUUGAAUACAUUAGCAUGGAAUAACGGAAUAGGACGUUUGAUUCUAUUUUGUUGGUUUCUAGGAUCGACGUAAUGAUUAAUAGGGAUAGUUGGGGGCAUUAGUAUUCAAUUGUCAGAGGUGAAAUUCUUGGAUUUAUUGAAGACUAACUACUGCGAAAGCAUUUGCCAAGGAUGUUUUCAUUAAUCAAGAACGAAAGUUAGGGGAUCGAAGACGAUCAGAUACCGUCGUAGUCUUAACCAUAAACUAUGCCGACUAGGAAUCGGGCGUCGUUAUUUUCACGACUCGCUCGGCGCCUUACGGGAAAC